GAUGAACGCUAGCGACAGGCUUAACACAUGCAAGUCGAGGGGCAGCAUAAAAGUAGCAAUACUUUGGUGGCGACCGGCGCACGGGUGAGUAACGCGUAUGCAACCUACCUAUCAGAGGGGAAUAACCCGGCGAAAGUCGGACUAAUACCGCAUAAAACAGGGGCACCGCAUGGUGAUAUUUGUUAAAGAAAUUCGCUGAUAGAUGGGCAUGCGUUCCAUUAGGUAGUUGGUGAGGUAACGGCCCACCAAGCCGACGAUGGAUAGGGGAACUGAGAGGUUGGUCCCCCACACGGGUACUGAGACACGGACCAGAAUCCUACGGGAGGCAGCAGUGAGGAAUAUUGGUCAAUGGGCGGGAGCCUGAACCAGCCAAGUCGCGUGAAGGAAGAAGGAUCUAUGGUUCGUAAACUUCUUUUGCAGGGGAAUAAAGUGCAGGACGUGUCCUGUUUUGUAUGUACCCUGAGAAUAAGGAUCGGCUAACUCCGUGCCAGCCGCCGCGGUAA
Molecule: ribosomal RNA, 503 nt
Filed under: uncultured bacterium
Lineage: Bacteria
Description: partial 16S ribosomal RNA
Rfam family: Bacterial small subunit ribosomal RNA
Source: RNAcentral